RNAcentral lists this ribosomal RNA (239 nucleotides) under uncultured bacterium. RNAcentral's name for it is "partial 16S ribosomal RNA". It matches the Rfam family "Bacterial small subunit ribosomal RNA", at positions 15 to 236 of the family's 1533-position model. The record is from RNAcentral.
GAUCAUGGCUCAGGAUGAACGCUGGCGGCGUGCUUAACACAUGCAAGUCGAGCGAAGCGCUUAAGUCUGAUUCUUCGGAUGAAGACUUUUGUGACUGAGCGGCGGACGGGUGAGUAACGCGUGGGUAACCUGCCUCAUACAGGGGGAUAACAGUUAGAAAUGACUGCUAAUACCGUAUAAGACCACGGUACCGCAUGGUACAGUGGUAAAAACUCCGGUGGUAUGAGAUGGACCCGCGU